This is a long non-coding RNA of Prionailurus viverrinus (fishing cat), 963 nucleotides long. RefSeq lists it as uncharacterized. NCBI's taxonomy places the organism in Eukaryota, Metazoa, Chordata, Mammalia, Carnivora, Felidae. The transcript has 4 exons. The record is from RefSeq and is a predicted model, not a curated record.
UUGCGCCCCGCCCCGCGGGCCAGCGGGGAGCCCACGUGUACUGCUGAGUUCCAGGAGGGCGCACCCGGAUUGGGGAGCGCGGUUUGGGGAAUCCGGAGCCAAGGAGGCGAGGACCUGAACAAUCUCCGUACAGGCUGCACACCUAAUUCCGACAUUUUACGUCAGCUAAAAGUGUGGGGAGGACUUGGAAAAGUCUGAGCAUCGUUAAAUCUGCGGAUGCUGGCGUUGACGGAACGCGGCCAGGCACCCUUCCUGUAGUUGGGAGUGUAUCUCUCGUGUUUGUGUAGCCGGUGUCUGGCACUUUCAACAUCUGAAAUGUUGGAUCCACAGCGGCACAGUCAAGCACACAGGCCCCAGAACCCGACCACCUGGGUUCACAUCCCAACGUUGUAUAACCUUGAGAAGGAAAGAGACUUUGAUCUUCCUUAGAAGUAGAUUCUGGUCGCUUCUGUGCCUGGGCAGCAUUAGACCAGAGGCAGUGGGUGAACGCAGUACCGAGCAGGUGUAGAGGCGCACAGAGGAAAGACCAUUGGAGGGCACAGUGAGAAGAUGGCCGUCUGCAAGCCAGAAGGAGACUUCUCACCAGACAACUCUGACACCUUAAUCUUGGACUUCUAGCCUCCAGAGUUAUGAGAACACGUUUCUGGUUUUUAAGCCACCCAUUUUGUAGUAUGUUGUUAGUCCAAACUGACCAGUACAAAGUUUCACUGUAUGUUUACUUAAAAGAAAAGCCUCCAAACCCAAGUUGUCCAGAUCAGCCCUGAUCAGAAGAACUUUCUGUGAAGGUGGAAAUAUUCUGUAUAUGCUCUGCCCAACACAGUAGUCACCAGCUACACGUGGCUAAUGAGGACUUGAAAUUCAGCCAGUGCAGGGGCACCUGGGUGGCUCAGUCAGUUGAGCGUCUGACUUCAGCUCAGGUCAUGAUCUCACAGUUUGAGCUCAAGCCCCACAUCGGGCUGUGUG